This 498-nucleotide ribosomal RNA is filed under the name Fischerella muscicola AUS-JR/AP/NT-083. RNAcentral's name for it is "bacterial SSU rRNA". It matches the Rfam family "Bacterial small subunit ribosomal RNA", at positions 270 to 782 of the family's 1533-position model. The record is from RNAcentral. Lineage: Bacteria; Bacillati; Cyanobacteriota; Cyanophyceae; Nostocales; Hapalosiphonaceae.
AAGGCGACGAUCAGUAGCUGGUCUGAGAGGAUGAUCAGCCACACUGGAACUGAGACACGGUCCAAACUCCUACGGGAGGCAGCAGUGGGGAAUUUUCCGCAAUGGGCGAAAGCCUGACGGAGCAAUACCGCGUGAGGGAGGAAGGCUCUUGGGUUGUAAACCUCUUUUCUCAGGGAAUAAGCAAGUGAAGGUACCUGAGGAAUCAGCAUCGGCUAACUCCGUGCCAGCAGCCGCGGUAAUACGGAGGAUGCAAGCGUUAUCCGGAAUGAUUGGGCGUAAAGCGUCCGUAGGUAGCAGUGUGUGUCUAUUGUUAAAGAGUUUGGCUUAACCAAAUAAAGGCGGUAGAAACUACACAGCUAGAGUGCGUUCGGGGCAGAGGGAAUUCCUGGUGUAGCGGUGAAAUGCGUAGAGAUCAGGAAAAACACCGGUGGCGAAAGCGCUCUGCUAGGCCGCAACUGACACUGAGGGACGAAAGCUAGGGGAGCGAAUGGGAUUAGA